Malania oleifera is the source of this 548-nucleotide long non-coding RNA. RefSeq lists it as uncharacterized. The record is from RefSeq and is a predicted model, not a curated record. The transcript has 3 exons. NCBI's taxonomy places the organism in Eukaryota, Viridiplantae, Streptophyta, Magnoliopsida, Santalales, Ximeniaceae.
CCCUUUGCCUCUAAGAAAAGAAUCAAAAACCAAAAGCAGUCUAGAAAAUUGGUCCACGGGAUGGCCACCAAUUAACCAGCGGUACAGGUCCCUUCUCAAAAUCCAGAACUCAUUCCCAUGAAGUGUAAUGUGUAUAUAUAGUUUCAUAUGGAAUGUCAUAGCUGUACCCAUCAGUCUGCUUGCUUUUGCAUAUCGACACUUUGACAGAUUAAAACACCGAGCUUAAGCCAUUCUCUUCCCAAAUGAAGACGAUGCAAGAACAGCCAAAUAACCAGCCCCCACAAGGAUACCCGAACGAUGAUGUUCCUGCUAAGAAGAAGUGUGCCAUGUGUGGUGCAAAGAAGAAAGGAGAUAGGGGCUUCAUUGAGGGAUGCCUCUUUGCUCUGUGCUGCUGUUGGCUUUGCGACGUUUGUUUUGACGGAUGAUUUCCAGCUGAGCAAUCCUUGUAGAAGUUAACUAUUGCUUAUCGUUUGAUUACUAUAAUUUCCGUGUAAUCUUGUGUUGAAUAAUAUGUAGCCAUUCUACCAGGAGUGUGUUUAUUUAACCUA